AUCUAUGGCUAUACCACCCUGAAUAUGUCUGAUACAGACGGAUGUCUGAUUUUUAAAGCUAAUCUGGGUAGGAUCUGCUUAGUAUUUGCAUGGGAGACUGCUUGGGAAUAUUAGGUGUUGUAGGCU
Ribosomal RNA from Dasypus novemcinctus (nine-banded armadillo), 126 nucleotides. Lineage: Eukaryota; Metazoa; Chordata; Mammalia; Cingulata; Dasypodidae. The record is from Ensembl.